RNAcentral lists this ribosomal RNA (253 nucleotides) under uncultured bacterium. RNAcentral's name for it is "partial 16S ribosomal RNA". It matches the Rfam family "Bacterial small subunit ribosomal RNA", at positions 524 to 776 of the family's 1533-position model. The record is from RNAcentral.
UACAGAGGGUGCAAGCGUUAAUCGGAAUUACUGGGCGUAAAGCGUGCGUAGACGGUUAUGUAAGUCCGAUGUGAAAGCCCAGGGCUCAACCUUGGAAUUGCAUUUGAGACUGCAUAGCUAGGGUGCGGAAGAGGGAAGCGGAAUUUCCGGUGUAGCGGUGAAAUGCGUAGAUAUCGGAAGGAACACCAGUGGCGAAAGCGGCUUCCUGGUCCAGCACCGACGUUCAGGCACGAAAGCGUGGGGAGCAAACAGG